GGUAGGAGUUUGCGCAUGAGCAGAAGUGUCGGGAAAACUGGAGAAGGGUUCGGAGGCGGUAUUGACAGCUGUGGAGGCAGCCCGCGUUCCCGGCAUGCCCCGGGGCGGCGGGGUUGGCUCUAACGAAUUUGAAUGAGGAGCCUCAGCGCUUUCGGCGCCAUUUUCGAGUGAUGCCUGAUCUCAUCAAUCUAGCGGGAGAGACGGGAUAACCUGUCCGAGAUUAUAGCGCUACUAGGACUCCGCCGAAAAAUCACCAAAAAAAUCGCCAAAAAUUACUUUGAGCAAAGGGCAGUCCGUGGGGCUUCGCCAGGAUUGGCGCAGACGGUUUUGACCUUUAGGAGAGAGCCAAUUCUGGAGAACAACCUAACUUCUUUGAUUGAACACUCACAUAAUGCAUUGGAACAUGAUAGGAGAUUAAGCUGGGAGCAGGGGCUGGGAGAUUACUACUGCUUGUCAGCUGUUGUACAAAAUAGCAUCAAUAUGCAAUAAUGGUGGCCAAAGGAGCCUGCACCCACCAGCUUUUACAGACCAGGUAGGAAGGGCCCAACUGUCACUAUAACCUGUAUAUAGUAUAAUGAAUACACUCUUUG
Molecule: long non-coding RNA, 590 nt
Filed under: Ursus maritimus (polar bear)
Lineage: Eukaryota; Metazoa; Chordata; Mammalia; Carnivora; Ursidae
Description: lncRNA (ENSUMAG00000018477.1)
Source: RNAcentral